RNAcentral lists this long non-coding RNA (256 nucleotides) under Mytilus galloprovincialis (Mediterranean mussel). The record is from RNAcentral. Lineage: Eukaryota; Metazoa; Mollusca; Bivalvia; Mytilida; Mytilidae.
UAUAAAGUCAACCUGUAGCUUUGCUAUAUAAAAAUGAUAGAAUCUGAAGCGAGAUGAUGUAUCAAAUAUUCUUGCUUUGUACGUUUUUAAGACAAAAUAUUCAUUUCAAACACACCCUAACAUAAAAAUGUGCACUCGAUUUUCUCUUUUCAAUACAAUUGUUACCCAUUUUUUGGAUUUUUUUCUUGAGUCACAUAAUGGAAGGGCAGACACGGAAAUAACUGAAAUAACAGUUAAUAAAAAUAUAAACUUUUUU